Molecule: ribosomal RNA, 374 nt
Filed under: uncultured eukaryote
Lineage: Eukaryota
Description: partial 18S ribosomal RNA
Rfam family: Eukaryotic small subunit ribosomal RNA
Source: RNAcentral
CAAUAGCGUAUAUUUAAGUUGUUGCAGUUAAAAAGCUCGUAGUUGGAUUUCGGUUAAGAGCGACCGGUCCGCCGUUUGGUGUGCACUGGUUGGUUUUAACUUCCUGUAGAGGACGUGCUCUGGGUUUAACGACCUGGACUCGGAGUCUACGUGGUUACUUUGAAAAAAUUAGAGUGUUCAAAGCGGGCUUACGCUUGAAUAUUUCAGCAUGGAAUAACACUAUAGGACUCCUGUCCUAUUUCGUUGGUCUCGGGACGGGAGUAAUGAUUAAGAGGAACAGUUGGGGGCAUUCGUAUUUCAUUGUCAGAGGUGAAAUUCUUGGAUUUAUGAAAGACGAACUUCUGCGAAAGCAUUUGCCAAGGAUGCUUUCAUUA